Molecule: long non-coding RNA, 488 nt
Filed under: Monodelphis domestica (gray short-tailed opossum)
Lineage: Eukaryota; Metazoa; Chordata; Mammalia; Didelphimorphia; Didelphidae
Description: lncRNA (ENSMODG00000037351.1)
Source: RNAcentral
CUGGCAGGGGAAAGAUUCCUUGGAGAAACAGUUUACUAGUCUGUUGGGGGAUGGCAGCUACCAAAGAAGCUGGAGGUGGGUGAUCUGUGCUCCUGUGGACAUUUUUGGAUCAUCCUACAAGGAGCCCUCAGAAGCAGGAAGGGGAUAAGAGGUUUUCAAUACCCUUAGGUGGACUAAGGGACAAUAUUGGGAGCUCCAGCCAUUCUCUGGACCAUCUAGGACUCCUCAUCAUCCAGCCUCUCCUUGCCAAAAGACUCUAUAUGGGAAGAAAGCGAGACUCAGAAAGGCACAGCAACUUGCCCAUGGUACCCAAUGAGGGUCAGAGACAAGAGGAAGAAAAAGAAACAAGAAUUUAUUCAUCACCUGCUCUGUGCCAGAUCAGCAGAGAGCUGACUGUGAAGUCACAUCAGAAUUUUUUAAUGGUUUCUUCCUUUUCAUCCUCAAAGGAAUUUAUAAUGAUAGCAUCUUCCAAAUUUAAUAAAUGAGAG